Molecule: ribosomal RNA, 253 nt
Filed under: uncultured bacterium
Lineage: Bacteria
Description: partial 16S ribosomal RNA
Rfam family: Bacterial small subunit ribosomal RNA
Source: RNAcentral
UACGUAGGGGGCGAGCGUUGUCCGGAUUUAUUGGGCGUAAAGAGCGUGUAGGCGGCUUGGUAGGUCCGUUGUGAAAACUCGAGGCUCAACCUCUAGACGUCGAUGGAAACCAUCUAGCUAGAGUCCGGAAGAGGAGAGUGGAAUUCCUGGUGUAGCGGUGAAAUGCGCAGAUAUCAGGAAGAACACCCGUGGCGAAGGCGGCUCUCUGGUACGUGACUGACGCUGAGACGCGGAAGCGUGGGGAGCGAACAGG